GCCAUGCCUUUGGCAUGUGGAAUUUCCUAGGCCAGGGAUCGAACCUGUACCACAGCAGUGAUAUGAGACACUGCAGUGGCAAUUCUGGGUUGUUAACCCACUGUACCACCAGGGAACACCCUAAUUUUUUUUAAAUCUUCACCAUUAAGUGAGUCUUUUUAGGGUAAUACCAUAUUUUAUUUGCCUUUGAGACUCUGAUAUUUAGAUAAUGAAUGGAUAAAUGAAUGAAUGAACACUAGUAAGUUAAUUCAUCUUAAAGUCUGUUUAUGACCUGGUUCUGGUUGUACCUAUGCAAGACUGAAUUGAACUGAUUAAAUUCCGAGCCUUAAUUUCUUCUUUUUGUGAAGAUAAUGCUAUUCAUUUUUCCUUAUUUGUCGUUGUGAGGAUCAAGUGAAAUAAUGCAGGUAAAAGUCCAUAUCAUCAGUGAGGUCUUACAGAACCCUAUUGGCAACUCACUGAGCUGGGCAUAAAGAAUACAAAGAAGAACAAAAUAUAUUCCUGCCAUUGAGGAACUUAGAUCUGUCAUGAAGGUCAAGGAAACAGGAGAGGGAAUUGUUUCCUUCAGCCGUGAAGAGGAAGACAUUUAAAGAGAGAUACAGAGAAUGGCAUUUGAGUUGGACCAUAAAGACAGAUGAAGCACUUGCUUGAUUUUGAAAUGAUGAAAUUAAUCAAGUUAGAAGAAACAAAAAUGCUAUGGGAGUACAGGGAAAGAAGUACUAGAUUUUGUCCAGGGGAGUGAGAUGAAGAAAGCUUCACAGAAGAGAUGAUAUGUAGAAAGACAUAAUAUCUUCCCACACUUCACAGCCCUGGCAAGAAAAUGGAAAUUUUAGGCAGACACCAGACCAGAUGACUAUGCUAGUUUGGCUACAGCUUAAGACUGCAGCCUCCCAAAGGAGGGUGUUUCUUACCCCCACCUGAGGCAUGAGCUUAGUUUAAUAGCUGCUGAGGCCAAGAAGGGCGUGAAGGAUGACUGAAUGACAGAUGGGACAAAGUCGCAUGAGAAGUGAUGUCAGCAUCGGCUGAAGGUUGAAGAACAACGCAAUUGCCAAAAGGAAAUCUGAGAGCAAGGACCAGGAGUCAGAAAUGGAUGGAUGCCAUGGUGUCAACACAGGGGCAGGGCAAGUUUCCAAAGGCAAAAGCCCAGUAGUCCAGCUGGGUUUGAAAGCUCUGGGUGAGUACCAUCAAGAACAAGAUUUAAAAUGAAGACUUAAUUGGCCAAAAAGGGAAUCAAUGAGGGUCAAAUUGCUUUGACAGUGUAAGGCAGGGCCUGCUGUUAUUUCUAGGAGCCCAGAGAGGAUUCUUGGCAAAAAACCUUCAGCUUUAUCUCCUGGUAGAUGGAAUUGCUCUCUACUCCAGGGCAGAAAGCACUACCCACUCUAUUUGCUCAAGUUUGUGUCAGUUCUGUGCAAUUAUGUUAAAAGCAGAAAAUAAAGAGUCUAGAACACCAGAAUGAGGGGUUUGUUCAUGAUUGGGAGGGUAAUGGGGAGCCACCAUGGAAAGAUUACCAGGAGGGAGGCCACGUGAUUGAAGCUGAAUGUUAAGAAAACCAGCAAGAAAGGGUAAUGGCACAGCUAGCAAUGUUUUCAACAAGUGGAACUUAAGUUAUAAGAUGUCUAAGUUGGAGACUGUUUCAUUAUUCACUUAUGAAGAAUAGGUAAUCAAUGUGGCAAGUAUUCAUUUAUUAAAUCUGUGUUAUCUGACUUGCAAUACAGCUAGAUAGUGCCAUUUUAUGGAUCAACUUUUAUCAUCACCAGGCUCACCAGUUUGUUAAUCUGUGUGUGUGAAUGGUGGUGUCAUGUAUUGAUAUAAAGAAAAUCAGAAUGAGCAUUUUUGUAAGUUUCUACAAGUGCUCUCUGAAUGUAAUGCAGGCAGGUUUAUAGACAAAAUGUGGUCAUAUAUGCUGCUUAUUCUUGCGAUGGUUUAGAGUCAGUUUUAAACCUAUGGGAAAAAUUUUAUUCUACCUGUAUAUGCCAGUUUCUGAAAUCCCUCUAGGUCCUCUGUGGGAAUAUUCCUUAAUUUUUUGCAUUUCUCUUCCCUGGGAAGGGCUCUCCAAUCCAUUGUUCUGCCAUGGGCUUUGUUGCCUCUCUUUGCAUGUUUGUUUUUGUUUCUUUUUCUCAUUAUCCUCCUUGGCCCCAUCUGAAGAGAGCAUUGGAAAAAUAGUCUCUUCUUAGCUAGAUACAUUCUCAGCCUACUAACUGCCUGUGGAAACUGAACUGACUGAAGGAUAAUUUUCUGUUUGGAAAAAGACUUUUAGUCCAGACUCAUGCUUUCUAUAGCUAUAAACUCUUAAAAUGACUGGCUUUUUGGCUAUUAAAUUCCCCUUAGCUCCAUGUACUACUACUACCUGUGGUUCUUUGUUCUUUUCUAGACAUACUUCUUAGAUUUUAUAUAUAAUAGUAUAUAUAAAACAAAUCCAAGAAAUGUACAUUUAUGCAUAUAUACAUACAUAUAUGUAUAUGUGUUAUAUGUAUGAUGCUCUUUUCUGUUUGUUUCUUCUCCUCCUCUUUUUUGAUGUAUACUGAGUACCUUGGAAGUAUCAUACUUUGGUGGGAGAGCUGCCAUUUUAGUCAUUUUGUCCAAUUUUUAAGAAUUUCUUGGGCACCACCUUUAUCUAUGCAAAAGUUUUAAAAAUGAAUAAGUAUGCCCUUGUUUUGAUUCUUGCCACAAAGCCAAGUUUUUAAUCAGCCUUUAUCCUCAAAGCAUUGCUUAAUUUUAUUUUUUUCCUAUUUAGGCUUGAGAAGUAUAGUUGUCCUUCCAUUUAUAUAAGAGUCUAAAACUGUGGCCUCCCUUCCUGACCCUCUCUCCUAUUUGCAGAUCAAUCUGCUCUGCUCUUUUCUAAGACUGUGUCUUUCUUGUAUCUUGCCAUGUGCAGACAACAGAUUAACGACGACACUGACACUCUCUUCUCUACCUUGUCCUAGGGCUUCAAGUUUAUCAGAUACCCUGUCUACUUUCUAGGCUAUUUCACUUGUUCAUGAACUGCUGUCCUUCCACCCCGAAAUGUAAAUAAAUUUCCUCACUAUCAGUCACCUAGGCAGUGGCAUACAGUAGAGCUUAUUUGGUACACCUUAUCCCAUUUUUAGGUACUAAAUCCAGUAGGAUUGGGGAUAAACUAGGUUAUGUUUCAGUAACUAAUUGCAGUUUUAGUGACCUAUAAUAACAAGGGCUUAUUUUGAAAAAGAAGUCAGAGAACUUAUCAUUAUUGAGUAUAUAAUAUGUCCUAGGUGCGCUGUCAUGAUCUUUACAUGCACUGUCUCAUUUUAUCUUCAGGAAGUGUUCAUGAGUGUCUUCAUAGUCUAUACAGUGAAAAGGAAGUAUAGAGGGAUUAAGUCAUUGUUCAAGAACAUACACUAUUCAGUGGUACUGAGAUUCAAAUCUGGGUUUAUCAGACUCAAAAUCUUUUGCUUUUUUUGACUACCUUAAAGAAACUAAGAAGUAUAUUCUGCCUAAAAAUAAAGCCAGGCUGGGCACAAUUGUUAUUGGCCACAGCUAUUACAUAUAAGAGAUAUUCUAAAAAUCUGAUAUAUGCUGAUUAAAUUUCUGUUUUAUUUGUUUAUCUUGUAGUAAUGAAAGGCAUGACUCAGUAUCCACUUUUGAAGAUCAUAUUAAAGUACUCUGUAAAUUUCCUCUUUUUAAAAAUUAAGGGAUUUAUGAAAGCUGCUUUGUGUCUUUUCUUUUUUCCUUUGAAGCAUAUGCCUACAAAAUGGAAGGCAAAUAUAGACUUGCUUUUCAUAACAUAAAAAAAAAAUCUAGAAAGUGGUAGUAAAGUAAUAAAAGAACAUUACUAUCUGGGAAGGGACAUUGAUUGCACAGAAAAAAAUGCUCACAAGAAAAUUAAAACAUAUAAAUGAUAAAUAAAAUCUGAAUGAGAUUGGCAGUUGAAUUGCAGAGAAAAAUGAAAAUGGCAUCUCCUUUUUAGAUCUCUCAGUUUAACCAUUUCAAUUCUACUUUAGAUAUUUUAAUCAAGAACUCUACAAAACAGACAAGAACUUAAAUAGAACUCUCUGUGUAAGGGAACUGUGCUGACUGGAAGACAGGAAACUAAAUGACCCAUUCAGAUGCAUUCCAUGCACUCAACAUUGUGACUCAAAGUGGUUAAUAUCUGAUGGCUGUUCUUGGGCUCAGAUCCAAUCAGCUGCUGGUCACACUCUCUCCAUCUCUCUGCUGAUCACGUGUCUACACCACUUCCUGCUGAAAUUAGCAAAGAUAGCUCUGGUGAAGAAAAUACAUUUUAGACGAAGCUGAAUUUCAAACCAUGUUUUUCAAAUCUAGACCUGGUUUCAUUUAGUACAAAUGUAGGACAAAAAAAAGCUACACUGUUAACUUGGUGAGAAAUAGACUUUCUUUGUUCAUAAGCGUAAUCAAAGCAGUGCUUUUCCAUAAUUUGCCUAACCUAAUUUUAGGUUUAAAUGAACCUUAAAUAUACUUCAUUGAAAACAUGGCCUGCCAACACAAGCUGUUUGUUUCUUCCUCCGAAUUGCUGUAUCAUUUUUUGUGUAAACUGUGUUCAUGAGCCUAGCCUCUGUUAUCUUUGAAUAAAACUUGCCAUUUGUACAAAUUGCACAAUUUACAAAAUGCUUUCCCAUCCCCAAAAUACAUUUUUGAAUCCAUAAAAAUCCUACAAAUGUAUCAAUAACCCUAUAUUACAGUUAAGGAAAUAUAGACUGAGAUUUGAGCAAUCACCUGUACCAGUUCUUAAAACCAGAAGAAACGGGACCGUUCUAAUGCAAAAUCUGAUAUUUUCACUAAAAUUACUCUCUCACUUGUAUUGCUGGAUAACUAUAACCACAUAGAUAUUGACCACUAACAGGGUUAAGAGCUUCUUGAGUAAACUAUGUCUUGUAUAAUUUUUUAAAAGCGACCCUUAUAAGAAUGUCCUACGCAGGAUAGUCAACCAAAAAAAGUCUUUUGUAGGUGAUGAUGGUGAUCAGUUCCAAGAAUUUUCUUCCAAAGUAGGCUUAGAAAAAUCUUAGCCAGCUUUUAAAUACAGUCUAUCAAUUGUAUAUAAAAUACAGUCAGCUUACACUCCUAUAGAAAUUCUUGCUAUUAAGAACCCAAAUUGUUUGCUUGCUUAGUCAAUCUUCAGGUUUUAUGCUGUAGGUUAAAAUAAGUCAAGAAGGCAGGAUCGAGAUGGCAGAGGAGUAAGACAUGGCACUCACUUUUUUCCACAAACACAUCAAAAAAAAGAGAGAAAAUCUACAUGUAGAAAGAUUCACACAGAACAUCUACUGAAUGAUGGCGAAAAACCAUACAACUCCAAAAAGGGCAAGAAACCCUCCACAUAACUGGGUAGAACAAAAGGGGAAUAAAAAAAGAGUGAGAGGGAAAGGAAUCAGGAUGGGACUAGCACUCCUGAGAGGGAGCUGUGAAAGAGGAAAGGAACCCACACCUUGGGAGGCCAUGUAACUGAUAAGGAGAUCAGCCAAGACAGAGGGACCCUGAAGCCUCGGAGAAAAGCACAGCAACUGGAUUAAGGAGGGAAAAGCAGGGAGAGAGCCACACAGACCAUAAGUACCACCUCCCAGAACACUGCAGCCUGAAAUGCUCAGAAGAGGCCUAGGGGCUGAGACUCAUGCUCUAGAGGUCAGUUCCUGGGAAAGGACUAGGGUUGGCUGUGUGGAGACAGCCUGAAGAGCAAGGGAGUGGUGCACCAAGGCUUAGGGAGGGGAGUGCCACAGCUGAGGGAACGCAGGAGGAGGUCUGGGCCUGCAGGAGAAGAAAGGCACUAUUGUUGAAGAGGUCAAGAGGACAUACAUAUACACAAUGGAAUACUACUCAGCCAUUAAAAAGGACAGAAUAAUGCCAUUUGCAGCAACAUGGAUGGAACUAGAGAUUCUCAUACUAAGUCAGAAGAAGAAAGACAAAUACCAUAUGAUGUCAUUUAUAUAUGGAAUCUAAUAUAUGGCACAAAUGAAGCUAUCUCCAGAAAUGAAACAAACUCAUGGGCAGGAAGAACAGACUUGUGGUUAUGGCAGAGAGAGGGAAGUGGGAUGGUCUUCAAUGUUGGGGUUGGUUGAUGCAAACUAUUGUUUUAGGAGUGGAUAAGCAAUGAGAUCUUUCUGUAUAGCACAAGGAACUAUAUUUUAUCACUUGUGAUGGAAUAUGAUAGAGGAUAAUGUGAGAAAAUGAACUUAUAUAUAUUGUGUAUGACUGGGUCACUUUCCUGUAAAGCAGAAAUUGACAAACACUGUAAAUCAACUAUAAUAAAAAAUUUAAAGAACACAAAAAAUAACAAAAAUAAAAUUCAAUUUUUUAGAUCUAUUCCUUUUUUAAUUUACCAAGAAAAUUAAUUUUCUGUGUAGCAACAGAGAAGCUAUCAAAGCCAAAUUUAAGCACUCCAUUGAAACAUUUAAUAUAAG
This 6359-nucleotide long non-coding RNA is filed under the name Sus scrofa (pig). RNAcentral describes it as "lncRNA (ENSSSCG00015023753.1)". Lineage: Eukaryota; Metazoa; Chordata; Mammalia; Artiodactyla; Suidae. The record is from RNAcentral.